AUUGAACGCUGGCGGCAGGCCUAACACAUGCAAGUCGAACGGUAACAGGAAGAAGCUUGCUUCUUUGCUGACGAGUGGCGGACGGGUGAGUAAUGUCUGGGAAACUGCCUGAUGGAGGGGGAUAACUACUGGAAACGGUAGCUAAUACCGCAUAACGUCGCAAGACCAAAGAGGGGGACCUCCGGGCCUCUUGCCAUCGGAUGUGCCCAGAUGGGAUUAGCUAGUAGGUGGGGUAACGGCUCACCUAGGCGACGAUCCCUAGCUGGUCUGAGAGGAUGACCAGCCACACUGGAACUGAGACACGGUCCAGACUCCUAAGGGAGGCAGCAGUGGGGAAUAUUGCACAAUGGGCGGAAGCCUGAUGGAGCCAUGCCGCGUGUAUGAAGAAGGCCUUCGGGUUGGAAAAUUCUUUCAGCGGGGAGGAAGGGAGUAAAGUUAAAACCUUUGCUCAUUGACGUUACCCGCAGAAGAAGCACCGGCUAACUCCGUG
This 490-nucleotide ribosomal RNA is filed under the name uncultured bacterium. RNAcentral describes it as "partial 16S ribosomal RNA". It matches the Rfam family "Bacterial small subunit ribosomal RNA", at positions 30 to 507 of the family's 1533-position model. The record is from RNAcentral.